RNAcentral lists this ribosomal RNA (497 nucleotides) under uncultured bacterium. Its description in RNAcentral is "partial 16S ribosomal RNA". It matches the Rfam family "Bacterial small subunit ribosomal RNA", at positions 28 to 507 of the family's 1533-position model. The record is from RNAcentral.
GAUGAACGCUGGCGGCGUGCCUAAUACAUGCAAGUCGAGCGAACAGACGAGGAGCUUGCUCCUCUGACGUUAGCGGCGGACGGGUGAGUAACACGUGGAUAACCUACCUAUAAGACUGGGAUAACUUCGGGAAACCGGAGCUAAUACCGGAUAACAUGUUGAACCGCAUGGUUCAACAGUGAAAGACGGUUUUGCUGUCACUUAUAGAUGGAUCCGCGUCGCAUUAGCUAGUUGGUAAGGUAACGGCUUACCAAGGCAACGAUGCGUAGCCGACCUGAGAGGGUGAUCGGCCACACUGGAACUGAGACACGGUCCAGACUCCUACGGGAGGCAGCAGUAGGGAAUCUUCCGCAAUGGGCGAAAGCCUGACGGAGCAACGCCGCGUGAGUGAAGAAGGUCUUCGGAUCGUAAAACUCUGUUAUUAGGGAAGAGCAAAUGUGUAAGUAACUAUGCACGUCUUGACGGUACCUAAUCAGAAAGCCACGGCUAACUACGUG